Sycon ciliatum is the source of this 931-nucleotide long non-coding RNA. RefSeq lists it as uncharacterized. The transcript is spliced from 3 exons. The record is from RefSeq and is a predicted model, not a curated record. Lineage: Eukaryota; Metazoa; Porifera; Calcarea; Leucosolenida; Sycettidae.
CUUUCUCUUCAGAGCUGAGCAGUUGAAGUAAUAAUUGGGAAGGAGCAAUUAUCAUGGGUUGCUGUAUGGGAAGAAAGCAACGUUCUGCGGAACAAAUUGAGGAGUUGGAGAGGAUCCGUUCUCAGCGUGCGACAAGGAGCAGGGACAGCACAAGGAUGAUCACGAUCACGAAUCCUAUUUUUUGCAGUACCUUGGUCAAAAAUGCAGAUGGUUCAAAGCCACUGGAAUUUGAUGAGCUGCGAGAUACAACCUGGAGGUUGAAUAACAGCAGAUACGCUAGGAGCACGACAAGUAAGAAGCUCAAAGGGUGUCCUAUGUGCUUCUCGGAACAAUGAUUUUGUAACGUUCAAGUUAUCCACUGGAAUCUGAUUCUUAUGCGAUGCAAACAGGAGUCACUGACGCCGAAAAUUCACAGGCAGAUUGUUUGCUUGAUUCUCAUCAUCUUACUGUAGUGGUUCGAGUUGUUCUUCGCUUUGCUACACGCAUCACCUCUGGAAUGUGGCAAUGCAUCACGCAAACCCUUUCAUUUCCUUUUCAAAAUCGUUGAUUCGUUUCUUGUGUUGCUAUAUCCGUUUUUGGAAAUGUGACGAGUGUCGUUCACCUCGCGCCCUUCAUUUAUGUGCAUCUUGAUUUUCUUUUGUACAACUCUGCAUUAUUAUGUAUUGUCCUUCGCUUCCAUGACGUCAUACUGCCACUGGGGUGAUACACCCGGUUUUUCCCCUCAUAACAGUGCACUGCGUCCGUCGGCGCGAGGGUUUUUUCCCGGCUGGCUCGGUCCAGGUAAAUUUAUCUGACGGCCCCAGUGGUAUUGUGGCAUAUCAUAUUUUUCGAAUUGGCUUGCAAACAUUUUCGUUAUUUUUCACUUGAUAUUCUGUUCUCAGUCCUUUUUUCUGGAUUCUCUUGCUAUCCGAUUCGCUCUGUCUGCCACCAA